Molecule: long non-coding RNA, 930 nt
Organism: Scatophagus argus
Lineage: Eukaryota; Metazoa; Chordata; Actinopteri; Scatophagidae
Exons: 2
Source: RefSeq, a predicted model, not a curated record
GCCAGUGACAACACUUUGCUGUCAUCCCAACGUGUCCUAACCAUAUGGACUUGUCACAACAGGAAAAACACAAUUAGACUUAACUGCAAUGACAGGUCAGUUGCAUUAAAUGUAACAGUGACAGUGAACCAGCUCACACAGUGGCAGGACCUCCUCUAAGUGGAAUGAAUCAUUAAUACACCUGUGAGCUUCCUCCUAUGACAAGUCAAAACAUCUGCUAUGUAACCAGUGCAUUCCUUAUGGCUUCAGAAGCACAAGACUCUGCUUGUUCCUGGCAGAAAGUACAAUUUUGAGGCUGACAGACAGAGGGAGGAGUCUUGUGACCAAGGAAACGAAUGACUGGAAGUCUUUACCUCAGUGCUCUGCUGGCUGGAACCGGUUUGGAAAAGUAAAAUAGGAACAAGAAAGUUAAAUAAGGAACUAAUGAUUAGAUAGGAUUUGCUGAGUACUGUAAUAACAUCAAGCACAUGAAUGGUAUUUUUCUUUUCAAAUGUUCCUUUCAAACAUUUCUCACACUCUUUAAUUGGUUAACCCUUUUCAUACCUGCCAGUUCCUGCCACUUUUAUACACAAAAUUGCUAGACUGAUAUUGAGUUCAACAGCAAGUUAGACUUCCUUUUAGUUUGAAUAUCAGUGACAUGUUUCCUUGAUGAGCAUCGACAGCUUUUCUUUUCUUUUUGUUUGGGCCAAAAUAAAUGAUUACAUUUUGGCACAGCAUUUUUACAUGUUGGUAAAUGGGGCUCAUAACAGCAACGUUGGCUCUUUUCUAGCAACUUCUGCAACGCUCCCAUUUGAGACAAAAUGUCUACGGUCUAGUCAACAACAGUUAAGUGUUAACUAUGAAUGUGUGCCAUAUAUGGCAGGGAGUUUCGCUCAUUAUAAUGCUGACAAAUGCUGAUUGUUAAGAAAUAAAAUGACGUGAGUUUUGCAA